CCUACGGGAGGCAGCAGUAGGGAAUAUUGCUCAAUGGGGGAAACCCUGAAGCAGCAAAGCCGCGUGGAGGAUGAAGGUUUUCGGAUUGUAAACUCCUUUUGUUAGAGAAGAUAAUGACGGUAUCUAACGAAUAAGCACCGGGUAACUCCGUGCCAGCAGCCGCGGUAAUACGGAGGGUGCAAGCGUUACUCGGAAUCACUGGGCGUAAAGAGGGCGUAGGCGGGAUAGCAAGUCAGAUGUGAAAUCCUAUGGCUUAACCAUAGAACUGCAUUUGAAACUGUUAGUCUAGAGUAUGGGAGAGGUAGGUGGAAUGCUUGGUGUAGGGGUAAAAUCCGUAGAGAUCAAGAGGAAUACUCAUUGCGAAGGCGACCUGCCAGAACAUAACUGACGCUGAGGCGCGAAAGCGUGGGGAGCAAACAGGAUUAGAUACCCGUGUAGUC
Molecule: ribosomal RNA, 440 nt
Filed under: uncultured bacterium
Lineage: Bacteria
Description: partial 16S ribosomal RNA
Rfam family: Bacterial small subunit ribosomal RNA
Source: RNAcentral